UCUGGAGGCUGGGAAGUCCAAGAUCAAGGUACCAAGUAGGUUCAAUGUCUGGACUACAUGUAUUUUGAAUUCUGGUCAUAAGAAUCAGCCUGAGAGACUAUGCCAGAGACUACUGGCAUUAAGUUUUGCCAACCCUCAGCAAAAUUAAACAAUUUUUACUGAAAAUAUCUAAAUAAAGUUUUGCUUCCUUUAAAUUA
Lemur catta (Ring-tailed lemur) is the source of this 197-nucleotide long non-coding RNA. RefSeq lists it as uncharacterized. NCBI's taxonomy places the organism in Eukaryota, Metazoa, Chordata, Mammalia, Primates, Lemuridae. The record is from RefSeq and is a predicted model, not a curated record. The transcript has 2 exons.